RNAcentral lists this ribosomal RNA (666 nucleotides) under bacterium LB-42. RNAcentral describes it as "bacterial SSU rRNA". It matches the Rfam family "Bacterial small subunit ribosomal RNA", at positions 782 to 1448 of the family's 1533-position model. The record is from RNAcentral.
GUACCCUGGUAGUCCACGCUGUAAACGAUGUCGACUUGGAGGUUGUUCCCUUGAGGAGUGGCUUCCGGAGCUAACGCGUUAAGUCGACCGCCUGGGGAGUACGGCCGCAAGGUUAAAACUCAAAUGAAUUGACGGGGGCCCGCACAAGCGGUGGAGCAUGUGGUUUAAUUCGAUGCAACGCGAAGAACCUUACCUACUCUUGACAUCCAGAGAACUUAGCAGAGAUGCUUUGGUGCCUUCGGGAACUCUGAGACAGGUGCUGCAUGGCUGUCGUCAGCUCGUGUUGUGAAAUGUUGGGUUAAGUCCCGCAACGAGCGCAACCCUUAUCCUUUGUUGCCAGCGGUUCGGCCGGGAACUCAAAGGAGACUGCCAGUGAUAAACUGGAGGAAGGUGGGGAUGACGUCAAGUCAUCAUGGCCCUUACGAGUAGGGCUACACACGUGCUACAAUGGCAUAUACAAAGAGAAGCGACCUCGCGAGAGCAAGCGGACCUCAUAAAGUAUGUCGUAGUCCGGAUUGGAGUCUGCAACUCGACUCCAUGAAGUCGGAAUCGCUAGUAAUCGUAGAUCAGAAUGCUACGGUGAAUACGUUCCCGGGCCUUGUACACACCGCCCGUCACACCAUGGGAGUGGGUUGCAAAAGAAGUAGGUAGCUUAACCUUCGUGAC